Long non-coding RNA from Saccostrea cuccullata (small rock oyster), 143 nucleotides. RefSeq lists it as uncharacterized. The transcript is spliced from 2 exons. NCBI's taxonomy places the organism in Eukaryota, Metazoa, Mollusca, Bivalvia, Ostreida, Ostreidae. The record is from RefSeq and is a predicted model, not a curated record.
UCAGUCUGUGAAUGAGCUCGAGGACUUUGCACCCAUGCAACGCUUUAAGCGAAUGGAGGAAAUGAUAGAGCAAACUGAAGACAAAUAAUGUGGAAAGCCGGUGUUUAUUCAUUGUAAUAAAUAAAUUGCAACUGAAAACUGUU